AGCGAACGCUGGCGGCAGGCCUAACACAUGCAAGUCGAACGAACUCUUCGGAGUUAGUGGCGGACGGGUGAGUAACACGUGGGAACGUGCCUUUUGGUUCGGAAUAACUCAGGGAAACUUGUGCUAAUACCGAAUGUGCCCUUCGGGGGAAAGAUUUAUCGCCAUUAGAGCGGCCCGCGUCUGAUUAGCUAGUUGGUGAGGUAACGGCUCACCAAGGCGACGAUCAGUAGCUGGUCUGAGAGGAUGACCAGCCACACUGGGACUGAGACACGGCCCAGACUCCUACGGGAGGCAGCAGUGGGGAAUCUUGCGCAAUGGGCGAAAGCCUGACGCAGCCAUGCCGCGUGUAUGAUGAAGGUCUUAGGAUUGUAAAAUUCUUUCACCGGGGACGAUAAUGACGGUACCCGGAGAAGAAGCCCCGGCUAACUUCGUG
This 433-nucleotide ribosomal RNA is filed under the name uncultured bacterium. RNAcentral's name for it is "partial 16S ribosomal RNA". It matches the Rfam family "Bacterial small subunit ribosomal RNA", at positions 29 to 507 of the family's 1533-position model. The record is from RNAcentral.